GACGAACGCUGGCGGCGUGCUUAACACAUGCAAGUCGAACGGAAAGGCCCUGCUUUUGUGGGGUGCUCGAGUGGCGAACGGGUGAGUAACACGUGAGUAACCUGCCCUUGACUUUGGGAUAACUUCAGGAAACUGGGGCUAAUACCGGAUAGGAGCUCCUGCUGCAUGGUGGGGGGUGGAAAGUUUCGGCGGUUGGGGAUGGACUCGCGGCUUAUCAGCUUGUUGGUGGGGUAGUGGCUUACCAAGGCUUUGACGGGUAGCCGGCCUGAGAGGGUGACCGGCCACAUUGUGACUGAGAUACGGCCCAGACUCCUACGGGAGGCAGCAGUGGGGAAUAUUGCACAAUGGGCGGAAGCCUGAUGCAGCAACGCCGCGUGCGGGAUGACGGCCUUCGGGUUGUAAACCGCUUUCGCCUGUGACGAAGCGUGAGUGACGGUAAUGGGUAAAGAAGCACCGGCUAACUACGUG
This 468-nucleotide ribosomal RNA is filed under the name uncultured bacterium. RNAcentral's name for it is "partial 16S ribosomal RNA". It matches the Rfam family "Bacterial small subunit ribosomal RNA", at positions 28 to 507 of the family's 1533-position model. The record is from RNAcentral.